AGAGUUUGAUCCUGGCUCAGGAUGAACGCUGGCGGCGUGCCUAACACAUGCAAGUCGAGCGAAGCACUUUGCUUAGAUUCUUCGGAUGAAGAGGAUUGUGACUGAGCGGCGGACGGGUGAGUAACGCGUGGGUAACCUGCCUCAUACAGGGGGAUAACAGUUAGAAAUGACUGCUAAUACCGCAUAAGACCACAGCACCGCAUGGUGCGGGGGUAAAAACUCCGGUGGUAUGAGAUGGACCCGCGUCUGAUUAGCUAGUUGGUAAGGUAACGGCUUACCAAGGCGACGAUCAGUAGCCGACCUGAGAGGGUGACCGGCCACAUUGGGACUGAGACACGGCCCAAACUCCUACGGGAGGCAGCAGUGGGGAAUAUUGCACAAUGGGGGAAACCCUGAUGCAGCGACGCCGCGUGAGCGAAGAAGUAUUUCGGUAUGUAAAGCUCUAUCAGCAGGGAAGAAAAUGACGGUACCUGACUAAGAAGCACCGGCUAAUACGUGCCAGCAGCCGCGGU
This 512-nucleotide ribosomal RNA is filed under the name uncultured Ruminococcus sp. RNAcentral's name for it is "bacterial SSU rRNA". It matches the Rfam family "Bacterial small subunit ribosomal RNA", at positions 8 to 521 of the family's 1533-position model. Lineage: Bacteria; Bacillati; Bacillota; Clostridia; Eubacteriales; Oscillospiraceae. The record is from RNAcentral.